GAAACAACGACCACGGAGCUGCUCAAUUUGUCUGGUACAUGGACCCAUGGCUCCUGAGAGGUGGGAAGGGGCUGCCUGCAUCCGUGGGCCCUGAAUCACCACAUAGAGGAAGAUGCCUCUGCUUCUCGAUGUUGGAGGUGGGAAGAAAGCAAGGGCAGGACAAUGCCCUCCAGGAGAUGCCAAUGUGGAUGAAUUUAGCCUGCAGUACAGGUACAUCUAUUUCUGGUGUAUAGAAUGACCUAAGCUCCCCACUUAUUCAUGACUUCAUGCAACUGAUGUUUAUUUUGUGCCUACUAUACCCCAGAACCUCAAGAUGUCUCUGUUCCCCAAUCCACCCCAUCCCUGCCUUUUGUGCUGAUAUCUGUCACCUGCAAAAUAAUUUCCACAAAACAACUACAACCACAAAUUAUAAUUUCUUUGGGACCCCACAUUGCCAUGGAAUGCUAUGAAGCUUCCUCAGGGGCUUCAGUGCAGGGAUGGGGGACAAAGAGGCUGCUGUGGUGUCCAGCAGGAGCU
Long non-coding RNA from Pan paniscus (pygmy chimpanzee), 516 nucleotides. The record is from Ensembl. Lineage: Eukaryota; Metazoa; Chordata; Mammalia; Primates; Hominidae.